CGUUGUUAAAAGUUUUAAUUUAUUAAUUAAGUUUACUCAGACNGCAAAGNUNCGCAAGAGUNUGAAGUNUCCNCCNGGAGCCCCCGCCCGAGGNCAGGGUCGCCCCGGAGGCAANAGAGUCGGACAACAAAGGGUUAUGAAUAACCAGGCCGAAGCCCGGGCGUUCUUGUAAUNAUUUUCCGUANGNNNNNNUGCGGAGGGAUCAUUACAAGAACGCCCGGGCUUCGGCCUGGUUAUUCAUAACCCUUUGUUGUCCGACUCUGUUGCCUCCGGGGCGACCCUGCCUUCGGGCGGGGGCUCCGGGUGGACACUUCAAACUCUUGCGUAACUUUGCAGUCUGAGUAAACUUAAUUAAUAAAUUAAAACUUUUAACAACGGAUCUCUUGGUUCUGGCAUCGAUGAAGAACGCAGCGAAAUGCGAUAAGUAAUGUGAAUUGCAGAAUUCAGUGAAUCAUCGAAUCUUUGAACGCACAUUGCGCCCCCUGGUAUUCCGGGGGGCAUGCCUGUUCGAGCGUCAUUUCACCACUCAAGCCUCGCUUGGUAUUGGGCAACGCGGUCCGCCGCGUGCCUCAAAUCGUCCGGCUGGGUCUUCUGUCCCCUAAGCGUUGUGGAAACUAUUCGCUAAAGGGUGUUCGGGAGGCUACGCCGUAAAACAACCCCAUUUCUAAGGUUGACCUCGGAUCAGGUAGGGAUACCCGCUGAACUUAA
RNAcentral lists this unclassified non-coding RNA (708 nucleotides) under Cladosporium sp. 0609ALT32D2-C. RNAcentral's name for it is "sequence contains ITS1, 5.8S rRNA gene and ITS2". The stretch from base 364 to 517 matches the Rfam family "5.8S ribosomal RNA". Lineage: Eukaryota; Fungi; Ascomycota; Dothideomycetes; Cladosporiales; Cladosporiaceae. The record is from RNAcentral.